CGUGUAGGCGGCUGGAUAAGUCAGAUGUGAAAGUCCUGGGCUUAACCCAGGAAGUGCAUUUGAAACUGUUCAGCUUGAGUAAGGGAGAGGAAAGUGGAAUUCCUGGUGUAGAGGUGAAAUUCGUAGAUAUCAGGAGGAACACCGGUGGCGAAGGCGACUUUCUGGCCCUAUACUGACGCUGAGACGCGAGAGCGUGGGUAGCAAACAG
RNAcentral lists this ribosomal RNA (208 nucleotides) under uncultured Smithella sp. RNAcentral describes it as "partial 16S ribosomal RNA". It matches the Rfam family "Bacterial small subunit ribosomal RNA", at positions 568 to 775 of the family's 1533-position model. The record is from RNAcentral. Lineage: Bacteria; Pseudomonadati; Thermodesulfobacteriota; Syntrophia; Syntrophales; Smithellaceae.